AUUGAACGCUGGCGGCAGGCCUAACACAUGCAAGUCGAACGAGUGGCGGACGGGUGAGUAAUGUCUGGGAAACUGCCCGAUGGAGGGGGAUAACUACUGGGAACGGUAUCUAAUACCGCAUACCCACGGAUGUUCCCGGCGGGGAUUAGCUAGUAGGUGUGGUAACGGCGAACCUAGGCGACGAUCCCUAGCUCGUCUGAGAGGAUGACCAGCCACACUGGAACUGAGACACGUGCGAGACUCCUGCGGGAGGAAGCAGUGGGGAAUAUUGCACAAUGGGCGCAAGCCGGAUGCAGCCAUGCCGCGUGUAUGAAGAAGGCCUUCGGGUGGUAAAGUACUUUCAGCGAGGAGGCGUUAAUCGCAGAAGAAGCACCGGCUAACUCCGUGCCAGCCGCCGCGGUAAUAC
Molecule: ribosomal RNA, 406 nt
Filed under: uncultured bacterium
Lineage: Bacteria
Description: partial 16S ribosomal RNA
Rfam family: Bacterial small subunit ribosomal RNA
Source: RNAcentral